RNAcentral lists this ribosomal RNA (429 nucleotides) under Chloroflexota bacterium. RNAcentral describes it as "Chloroflexi bacterium partial 16S ribosomal RNA". It matches the Rfam family "Bacterial small subunit ribosomal RNA", at positions 355 to 776 of the family's 1533-position model. Lineage: Bacteria; Bacillati; Chloroflexota. The record is from RNAcentral.
UGGGGAAUAUUGCACAAUGGGCGCAAGCCUGAUGCAGCCAUGCCGCGUGUAUGAAGAAGGCCUUCGGGUUGUAAAGUACUUUCAGCGGGGAGGAAGGGAGUAAAGUUAAUACCUUUGCUCAUUGACGUUACCCGCAGAAGAAGCACCGGCUAACUCCGUGCCAGCAGCCGCGGUAAUACGGAGGGUGCAAGCGUUAAUCGGAAUUACUGGGCGUAAAGCGCACGCAGGCGGUUUGUUAAGUCAGAUGUGAAAUCCCCGGGCUCAACCUGGGAACUGCAUCGGAUACUGGCAAGCUUGAGACUCGUAGAGGGGGGUAGAAUUCCAGGUGUAGCGAUGAAAUGCGUAGAGAUCUGGAGGAAUACCGGUGGCGAAGGCGGCCCCCUGGACGAAGACUGACGCUCAGGUGCGAAAGCGUGGGGAGCAAACAGG